RNAcentral lists this ribosomal RNA (467 nucleotides) under uncultured bacterium. Its description in RNAcentral is "partial 16S ribosomal RNA". It matches the Rfam family "Bacterial small subunit ribosomal RNA", at positions 28 to 506 of the family's 1533-position model. The record is from RNAcentral.
GACGAACGCUGGCGGCGUGCUUAACACAUGCAAGUCGAACGGAAAGGCCCUGCUUUUGUGGGGUGCUCGAGUGGCGAACGGGUGAGUAACACGUGAGUAACCUGCCCUUGACUUUGGGAUAACUUCAGGAAACUGGGGCUAAUACCGGAUAGGAGCUCCUGCUGCAUGGUGGGGGUUGGAAAGUUUCGGCGGUUGGGGAUGGACUCGCGGCUUAUCAGCUUGUUGGUGGGGUAGUGGCUUACCAGGGCUUUGACGGGUAGCCGGCCUGAGAGGGUGACCGGCCACAUUGGGACUGAGGUACGGCCCAGACUCCUACGGGAGGCAGGAGUGGGGAAUAUUGCACAAUGGGCGGAGGCCUGAUGCAGCAACUCCGCGUGCGGGAUGACGGCCUUCGGGUUGUAAACCGCUUUCGCCUGUGACGAAGCGUGAGUGACGGUAAUGGGUAAAGAAGCACCGGCUAACUACGU